RNAcentral lists this ribosomal RNA (220 nucleotides) under uncultured Glomus. RNAcentral's name for it is "partial small subunit ribosomal RNA". It matches the Rfam family "Eukaryotic small subunit ribosomal RNA", at positions 591 to 817 of the family's 1831-position model. Lineage: Eukaryota; Fungi; Glomeromycota; Glomeromycetes; Glomerales; Glomeraceae. The record is from RNAcentral.
CCAAUAGCGUAUAUUAAAGUUGUUGCAGUUAAAAAGCUCGUAGUUGAAUUUCGGGAUCAAUUUGUCGGUCGUGCCUCGGUACGUACUGGUAUUAUUGGUUUCUACCUUCUGAAGAACCUUGAUGUCAUUAAUUUGGUGUCUUGGGGAAUCAGGACUGUUACUUUGAAAAAAUUAGAGUGUUUAAAGCAAGCAUACGCUUGAAUACAUUAGCAUGGAAUAA